This is an RNA transcript of Rhipicephalus sanguineus (brown dog tick), 1077 nucleotides long. RefSeq lists it as uncharacterized. The record is from RefSeq and is a predicted model, not a curated record. Lineage: Eukaryota; Metazoa; Arthropoda; Arachnida; Ixodida; Ixodidae. The transcript is spliced from 5 exons.
UCGCUACAGGACAUCUUAGAUGCCAUAGCUGUACACCUUAUGGAAAGUUUCGCACACACUUGCAUCAGCAAUUGUCGUCUCUGUCAUCUUUUGUAGUAGGACUGCGCCCAGACUUUUCGGUGUCAAACGUUAUUUUUCUCCUUUUUUCUCAAACUUGUUAGAGAAAAAAGUAGCAACUCUCAAACUUGUUUGAGAGUCGCUACUUCUUGGUACUCGAAGUGGUCGAUACACUAAGGAACAGCUAUACAACAGUUUAGUGCCCGAGGUCUUUGUCGCGUGGUUAAGUCCGAUGAUGCAACUUCGCGAGCCGUCCCUCUUGGCGCCGUGAAAUAUUUGUCGUUAAAUUACGAAGAGACGACAUUACGGCACGAACCAAUGACGUCACUGACCUUAUUUAUACGUCUGCAAUGUAGACGUCGAUAGAGGCCGUCUUCGAAGCCCCCCACUUUGCGUCAGGUUUCAUUCAACGCCAAAUAUGAGGUUUCUCGCUGUCGUUGUAGCAGUGAUUCUGGCCGUGACUGUGUGCUCAGAUUUUUCGGAUGCAAGAAAAUGGCAAUUGAACCAACUUCCGCCUCGGCUUAUCCGUCUUUACGCGGAUCACCUGGCCCUCAUAAGUUCUAAAAUGUACGCAAGGCGCCUGACCAGGAUCACCAUGGUUGUGCGGGAACUCACGCGUGUUACCAUCAGCUUUCAAGCCGUGGAAACAACGUGCAAACCGAGUAUACGCUUGCCAUCGCCAAAGUGGUGUCCGCAGAGAAAGAACGGACCCGUUUUUGCCUGCACCGGUACAGUGAUGCUUCUUGAUGAUUCGCAUCAGAGAGUCAAGUUCCCCAAACACGACAUGGUUCCAUGCAGGGUCAUCCAGAAUAAACCAGUUCAACGUACAACUGCCAAAUCAUAUUGAGGCUUACGAUGAAAGCUUCACACAGUGGGUAUAUUAGCCAUUGUUACCACCAUGGAUCUUCGUGAACGCCGCGCAAGAUUUCUCGCUGCAGUGAGAAGAGGGGACGGAUGUAACACUGAAGUGAAGAGAGCGCAGGCAAAAGUCUCGCAAGACAAUCAUUAAAUUACAAUAAC